UGGGGAAUCUUGCGCAAUGGGGGAAACCCUGACGCAGCAACGCCGCGUGGGUGAUGAAGGCCUUCGGGUCGUAAAGCCCUGUCAGGUGGAAAGAAUCGUGUCGGUACGAACAAUACCGACGCUUGACGGUACCACCGGAGGAAGCACCGGCUAACUCCGUGCCAGCAGCCGCGGUAAUACGGAGGGUGCAAGCGUUGUUCGGAAUUACUGGGCGUAAAGAGCGUGUAGGCGGUUAGGCAAGUCAGAUGUGAAAGCCUUUCGCUUAACGGAAGAAUUGCAUUUGAAACUACCUGGCUGGAGUUCGGGAGAGGAGAGUGGAAUUCCCGGUGUAGAGGUGAAAUUCGUAGAUAUCGGGAGGAACACCGGUGGCGAAGGCGGCUCUCUGGCCCGAUACUGACGCUGAGACGCGAAAGCGUGGGGAGCAAACAGG
RNAcentral lists this ribosomal RNA (430 nucleotides) under uncultured delta proteobacterium. RNAcentral describes it as "bacterial SSU rRNA". It matches the Rfam family "Bacterial small subunit ribosomal RNA", at positions 355 to 776 of the family's 1533-position model. Lineage: Bacteria; Deltaproteobacteria. The record is from RNAcentral.